CCAAUAGCGUAUAUUAAAGUUGUUGCAGUUAAAAAGCUCGUAGUUGAAUUUCGGGAUCAAGGAAUCGGUCAUGCCUUGGUAUGUACUGGUUUUAUUGGUUCUCACCUUCUAAAGAACCAUAAUGUCAUUCAUUUGAUGUUAUGGGGAAUUAGGACUGUUACCUUGAAAAAAUUAGAGUGUUUAAAGCAGGCUUACGCUUGAAUACAUUAGCAUGGAAUAAUGAAAUAGGACAUCAGAUUCUAUUUUGUUGGUUUCUAGGAUCGAUGUAAUGAUUAAUAGGGAUAGUUGGGGGCAUUAGUAUUCAAUUGUCAGAGGUGAAAUUCUUGGAUUUAUUGAAGACUAACUACUGCGAAAGCAUUUGCCAAGGAUGUUUUCAUUAAUCAAGAACGAAAGUUAGGGGAUCGAAGACGAUCAGAUACCGUCGUAGUCUUAACCAUAAACUAUGCCGACUAGGGAUCGGAUGAUGUUAAUUUUAUAAUGACUCAUUCGGCACCUUAC
This 498-nucleotide ribosomal RNA is filed under the name uncultured Glomeromycotina. Its description in RNAcentral is "partial small subunit ribosomal RNA". It matches the Rfam family "Eukaryotic small subunit ribosomal RNA", at positions 591 to 1091 of the family's 1831-position model. Lineage: Eukaryota; Fungi; Glomeromycota. The record is from RNAcentral.